UUGAGUUUGAUCCUGGCUCAGAAUCAACGCUGGCGGCGUGCCUCAGACAUGCAAGUCGAACGAAUAAGACUUCCUUCGGGAAGUGUAUAAAGUGGCGCACGGGUGAGUAACACGUAAGUAAUCUACCCUCGAGUGGGGAAUAACAUCGGGAAACCGAUGCUAAUACCGCAUAACGCAGCGGCACCGCAAGGUGACAGUUGUUAAAGGAGUAAUUCGCUUGAGGAGGAGCUUGCGGCAGAUUAGCUAGUUGGUAAGGUAACGGCUUACCAAGGCUACGAUCUGUAUCCGGUCUAAGAGGACGGUCGGACACACUGACACUGAAUAACGGGUCAGACUCCUACGGGAGGCAGUAGUCGGGAAUUUUGGGCAAUGGGCGAAAGCCUGACCCAGCAACGCCGCGUGAAGGAUGAAGUAUUUCGGUAUGUAAACUUCGAAAGAAUGGGAAGAAUAAAUGACGGUACCAUUUAUAAGCUCCGGCUAACUACGUGCCAGCAGCCGCGGUAAUACGUAGGGAGCAAGCGUUGUUCGGAUUUACUGGGCGUAAAGGGCGCGUAGGCGGCGCGGUAAGUCAGCUGUGAAAUCUCCGAGCUUAACUCGGAACGGCCAGCUGAUACUGCAGUGCUAGAGUGCAGAAGGGGCAAUCGGAAUUCUUGGUGUAGCGGUGAAAUGCGUAGAUAU
Molecule: ribosomal RNA, 678 nt
Filed under: Acidobacteria bacterium enrichment culture clone e145
Lineage: Bacteria; Pseudomonadati; Acidobacteriota
Description: bacterial SSU rRNA
Rfam family: Bacterial small subunit ribosomal RNA
Source: RNAcentral